RNAcentral lists this ribosomal RNA (478 nucleotides) under uncultured bacterium. RNAcentral describes it as "partial 16S ribosomal RNA". It matches the Rfam family "Bacterial small subunit ribosomal RNA", at positions 28 to 523 of the family's 1533-position model. The record is from RNAcentral.
GACGAACGCUGGCGGCGUGCUUAACACAUGCAGGUCGAACGGUAAGGCCCUUCGGGGUACACGAGUGGCGAACGGGUGAGUAACACGUGGGUGAUCUGCCCUGCACUUCGGGAUAAGCCUGGGAAACUGGGUCUAAUACCGGAUAGGACCACUGCCUGCAUGGGUGGUGGUGGAAAGCUUUUGCGGUGUGGGAUGGGCCCGCGGCCUAUCAGCUUGUUGGUGGGGUGAUGGCCUACCAAGGCGACGACGGGUAGCCGGCCUGAGAGGGUGACCGGCCCCACUGGGACUGAGAGACGGCCCAGACUACUGCGGGAGGCAGCAGUGGGGAAUAUUGCACAAUGGGCGCAAGCCUGAUGCAGCGACGCCGCGUGAGGGAUGACGGCCUUCGGGUUGCAAACCUCUUUCAGCACCGACGAAGCGCAAGUGACGGUAGGUGCAGAAGAAGGACCGGCCAACUACGUGCCAGCAGCCGCCGUAA